RNAcentral lists this ribosomal RNA (254 nucleotides) under uncultured bacterium. RNAcentral's name for it is "partial 16S ribosomal RNA". It matches the Rfam family "Bacterial small subunit ribosomal RNA", at positions 524 to 776 of the family's 1533-position model. The record is from RNAcentral.
UACGGGGGGAGCAAGCGUUGUUCGGAUUUACUGGGCGUAAAGGGCGCGUAGGCGGCCACCGCAAGUCGGUUGUGAAAUCUCCGGGCUUAACCCGGAAAGGUCAAUCGAUACUGCGGGGCUAGAGUGCAGAAGGGGCAACUGGAAUUCUCGGUGUAGCGGUGAAAUGCGUAGAUAUCGGGAGGAACACCAGUGGCGAAGGCGGCGAUCUGGGAAGAUACUGACGCUGAGGUGCGAAAGCGUGGGGAGCAAACAGG